Nomascus leucogenys (northern white-cheeked gibbon) is the source of this 587-nucleotide non-coding RNA. The record is from the annotation of a RefSeq genome assembly. NCBI's taxonomy places the organism in Eukaryota, Metazoa, Chordata, Mammalia, Primates, Hylobatidae.
CAAGCACUCUUCUAGCCCAGAGAAGCCUGUUCCAGGACGGGCUCUUUCAGGAGCAGCUAAAGUAAGGGGCCAUGUCCACCAUGUGAUAGAAAGACAAGAUGGUCCUGAAAUUCUCUGCGUCCAUUCUUUGGAUUCAGUUGGCAUGGGUGAGCACCCAGCAGCUGGAGCAGAGCCCUCGGUUUCUAAGCAUCCAAGAAGGAGAAAAUCUCACUGUGUACUGCAACUCCUCAACUCCUGUUUUUUCCAGCUUACAAUGGUACAGACAGGACCCUGGGGAAGGUCCUGUCCUCCUGGUGACAGUAGUUACGGGUGGAGAAGUGAAGAAGCUGAAGAGACUAACCUUUCAGUUUGGUGAUGCAAGAAAGGACAGUUCUCUCCACAUCACUGCGGCCCAGCCUGGUGAUACAGGCCUCUACCGCUGUGCAGGAGCACAGAAACACACCUCUUGUCUUUGGAAAGGGCACAAGACUUUCUGUGAUUGCAAAGGCCUGAGUCAAGGUUAUUGCAAUAGCACUAAACACUGUGUAACACCAAUGCAGGCAAAUUAACCUUUGGGGAUGGGACUACGCUCAUUGUGAAGCCAAGUA